RNAcentral lists this transfer RNA (71 nucleotides) under Cordylochernes scorpioides. RNAcentral's name for it is "tRNA-Gly". The record is from RNAcentral. Lineage: Eukaryota; Metazoa; Arthropoda; Arachnida; Pseudoscorpiones; Chernetidae.
UGCAUCGGCCGGGAAUCGAACCCUGGCCGCCCGCGUGGCAGGCGAGCAUUCUACCACUAAACCACCGAUGC